AGUCACAGCAUCUGGGGCUGAGGCUGCCCGAGCAGUCUGCCUGGGGCGCCGCACACUCCAUACCUCCCUCUCCAGACGGUGUCCUCAAUCGGCAUUCUGAGGGGAAAGCAAAUGACGGCAAGCAUGCAGAUGAGCUCACCUGAUGAGGAACAUGGACGUGCGUAGUCUGUGUUAGGAUGUGUUCAGCUGACAGUCACCUUUGACCUACAGGUGACUCACCAUCUAGCUUCACGGUUCGCAGUGUGACGAGUUUCUCUGAGCCUUCUUCCCACACACCUGCUGGCCUGAGCACCUGCCACAGCAUCCGCUGACCCAUCUUAGAGGUGAGAACUUCAAUGCUGCCCCGUGAUGGACAGGGACCACACACAGGGCAGGUGACAGGGGUGGGGGGUGGAUUCCCUGACAGUCGUUCACACACCUACUCAUGCCCUAUGGUUUACUGAACACCUAUUAUGUGCCAAGCCUUACCUAGCUGCUAGAAAGGCAGCAGAGAACUCGAGAGACCCAAAUCUCUGCCUUCAUGCAGCUGAUCCAGCUGGGCGGGAGGACAUCAUACAAAAGGAGUAAAAUACAUACAUUCUGGGGCCGGCGCUGUGACAUAGCAGGUAAAGCAGCCACCUGCAGUGCCGGCACCCCAUAUGGGUGCUGGUUCGAGACCCGGCUGCUCUACUUCCAAUCCAGCUCUCUGCUACAGCCUGGGAAAGCAGUAGAAGAUAGCCUAGGUCCUUGGGCCCCUGCACCUGCAUGGUAGACCCCGAAGAGGCUCCUGGCUCCUGGCUCUGAUCGGCGUAGCUCCAGCUGUUGCAGCCAAUUGGGGAGUGAACCAGCAGAUGGAAGACCUCUCUCUCUGCCUCUCCUUCUCUCUGUAUAACUCUGACUUCCAAAUAAAUAAAUAAAUCUUAAAAAAAAAAAAA
Non-coding RNA from Oryctolagus cuniculus (rabbit), 914 nucleotides. The record is from RefSeq and is a predicted model, not a curated record. Lineage: Eukaryota; Metazoa; Chordata; Mammalia; Lagomorpha; Leporidae.